Long non-coding RNA from Cucurbita moschata (crookneck pumpkin), 695 nucleotides. RefSeq lists it as uncharacterized. NCBI's taxonomy places the organism in Eukaryota, Viridiplantae, Streptophyta, Magnoliopsida, Cucurbitales, Cucurbitaceae. The record is from RefSeq and is a predicted model, not a curated record. The transcript has 4 exons.
UCCUCCGAAGGCUUCAUUCCAAUGGAGAUAAUAUUUCUCACUUAUAAACCCAUUAUCUUCCACUAAAUCAACGAACGUGAGACUCACUCCUAAUAAUCCUCAACACCACGCUGGGUAAACCCUUGGUAAAAGAGUGCUUUCUUCUCACGAUCUCCUUAUCAGAUCAGCUUCCCCUUCUUCUUUCACUACUUGAGCGUUGUUAUUUCUGUAAGUUCGUUCUCCAUUUUUGAAGUUCUUAGCUUCUUCCAAUUGCCAAUUUGUGAAUGAUUUUCUUUGGGGUUACCUACUUGUAUUAUGGAUCAUGAAACACUGCCCGGAAAUUUCCGUUCCAUCAAAAUUGGGCUCUGAUUACGCGGGCUAGUUAGGGUUCGAGAUGAAUUAUUGAGAGAAGUAUUCAACGGCCGCAUUGCGGUGGUCGUUUUCAAAUUCCAUACUUUCUUGCGUUGCGGAUAUUGGACAUUGCGUAAUGCCCACCAACUGUUCGAUGAAAUUCCUCUAUGAAAUGCUCAAGGAUCAACUGUUUCGUUGGAUCAUUAUGGAUUUGUUUCGAUAACAUGGCCUUCUCGAGGAUCAACUGUUUCAUUGGAUCAUUAUGGAUUCGUUUCGAUAACAUAACCUUAUCAUCAAUGUUGGUGGUGGCAGCCUUCGUAGGAGCACCGACUUCAUCGACACCAUUUGAACCAGAAGAAGGCUGC